GACGAACGCUGGCGGCGUGCCUAAUACAUGCAAGUCGAACGCACAGUUUAUACCGUAGCUUGCUACACCAUAGACUGUGAGUUGCGAACGGGUGAGUAACGCGUAGGUAACCUGCCUGGUAGCGGGGGAUAACUAUUGGAAACGAUAGCUAAUACCGCAUAAUAUUAAUUAUUGCAUGAUAAUUGAUUGAAAGAUGCAACUGCAUCACUACCAGAUGGACCUGCGUUGUAUUAGCUAGUAGGUGAGGUAACGGCUCACCUAGGCGACGAUACAUAGCCGACCUGAGAGGGUGAUCGGCCACACUGGGACUGAGACACGGCCCAGACUCCUACGGGAGGCAGCAGUAGGGAAUCUUCGGCAAUGGACGAAAGUCUGACCGAGCAACGCCGCGUGAGUGAAGAAGGGUUUCGGAUCGUAAAGCUCUGUUGUAAGAGAAGAACGGGUGUGAGAGUGGAAAGUUCACACUGUGACGGUAGCUUACCAGAAAGGGACGGCUAACUACGUG
Molecule: ribosomal RNA, 505 nt
Filed under: uncultured bacterium
Lineage: Bacteria
Description: partial 16S ribosomal RNA
Rfam family: Bacterial small subunit ribosomal RNA
Source: RNAcentral